RNAcentral lists this ribosomal RNA (500 nucleotides) under uncultured bacterium. RNAcentral's name for it is "partial 16S ribosomal RNA". It matches the Rfam family "Bacterial small subunit ribosomal RNA", at positions 30 to 523 of the family's 1533-position model. The record is from RNAcentral.
AUUGAACGCUGGCGGAAUGCUUUACACAUGCAAGUCGAACGGCAGCACGGACUUCGGUCUGGUGGCGAGUGGCGAACGGGUGAGUAAUGUAUCGGAACGUACCCAGUCGUGGGGGAUAACGUAGUGAAAAUUACGCUAAUACCGCAUACGAUCUAUGGAUGAAAGCGGGGGAUCGCAAGACCUCGCGCGAUUGGAGCGGCCGAUAUCAGAUUAGGUAGUUGGUGGGGUAAAGGCCCACCAAGCCAACGAUCUGUAGCUGGUCUGAGAGGACGACCAGCCACACUGGAACUGAGACACGGUCCAGACGCCUACGGGAGGCAGCAGUGGGGAAUUUUGGACAAUGGGCGAAAGCCUGAUCCAGCCAUUCCGCGUGCAGGAUGAAGGCCCUCGGGUUGUAAACUGCUUUUGUACAGAACGAAAAAGUUUCUACUAAUACUAGGAGCUCAUGACGGUACUGUAAGAAUAAGCACCGGCUAACUACGUGCCAGCAGCCGCCGUAA